This 650-nucleotide ribosomal RNA is filed under the name uncultured fungus. RNAcentral's name for it is "LSU rRNA". It matches the Rfam family "Eukaryotic large subunit ribosomal RNA", at positions 38 to 667 of the family's 3401-position model. The record is from RNAcentral. Lineage: Eukaryota; Fungi.
GCAUAUCAAUAAGCGGAGGAAAAGAAAUUAACUAAGAUUGCCCCAGUAACGGCGAGUGAAGCGGCAAGAGCCCAAACUGCUAAUCUUCACACUGCGUGUGACGAAUUGUAAUCUAAAGUAGGUUCGCUCACCGGGUAGUGGCGCAGAAGUGCCUUAGGAUGGGCCGCCAGAGAGGGUGACAGCCCCGUAUGUAGUGCCACCGCCUACCCAGCGUCCUUACCACGAGUCGGGUUGUUUUGUAUUGCAGCCCCAAGCGGGAGAUAAACUUCUUCUAAGGCUAAAUACCUAUGGGAAACCGAUAGCGAACAAGUACUGUGAAGGAAAGAUGAAAAGAACUUUGAAAAGAGAGUCAAAAGACUUGAAAUCGUUGAGAAGGAAGCGGUAGAAAUUUAUUCUUCGGUAGUGGGCGGGGGUUGCUGCCUAACCGUCCUGGCCUGUAUGGACUUUCAUAAGCCUGCAGGCUUUGCUUGGGGCCGCGGUCGCCCUUGCCCUCUGCCGUGAGGCAAAAUGGGGUCCCCGUCCCGCAAAGGCCUCGCGUGCUUGGCUGGAUUCGUCCGGCAGCUCGUGGGUGCCGGUGGGCGUGUGGCCUGAGGUUGCUCUGUGCGAUUUUGCCAAAAUGGUUUUUACCGACCCGUCUUGAAACACGGACC